GAGAGGUGCUAGUAGUUAUAGAGAGGUGCUAGUAGUUAUAGAGAGGUGCUAGUAGUUAUAGAGAGGUGCUAGGAGUUAUAGAGAGGUGCUAGGAGUUAUAGAGAGGUGCUAGUAGUUAUAGAGAGUUGCUAGUAGUUAUAGAGAGGUGCUAGGAGUUAUAGAGAAGUGCUAGGAGUUAUAGAGAGGUGCUAGUAGUUAUA
This is a non-coding RNA of Oncorhynchus mykiss (rainbow trout), 200 nucleotides long. The record is from RefSeq and is a predicted model, not a curated record. Lineage: Eukaryota; Metazoa; Chordata; Actinopteri; Salmoniformes; Salmonidae.